GGGUUGUGAGGUUAAGCGACUAAGCGUACACGGUGGAUGCCCUGGCAGUCAGAGGCGAUGAAGGACGUGCUAAUCUGCGAUAAGCGUCGGUAAGGUGAUAUGAACCGUUAUAACCGGCGAUUUCCGAAUGGGGAAACCCAGUGUGUUUCGACACACUAUCAUUAACUGAAUCCAUAGGUUAAUGAGGCGAACCGGGGGAACUGAAACAUCUAAGUACCCCGAGGAAAAGAAAUCAACCGAGAUUCCCCCAGUAGCGGCGAGCGAACGGGGAGCAGCCCAGAGCCUGAAUCAGUGUGUGUGUUAGUGGAAGCGUCUGGAAAGGCGCGCGAUACAGGGUGACAGCCCCGUACACAAAAAUGCACAUGCUGUGAGCUCGAUGAGUAGGGCGGGACACGUGGUAUCCUGUCUGAAUAUGGGGGGACCAUCCUCCAAGGCUAAAUACUCCUGACUGACCGAUAGUGAACCAGUACCGUGAGGGAAAGGCGAAAAGAACCCCGGCGAGGGGAGUGAAAAAGAACCUGAAACCGUGUACGUACAAGCAGUGGGAGCCUCUUUUAUGGGGUGACUGCGUACCUUUUGUAUAAUGGGUCAGCGACUUAUAUUCUGUAGCAAGGUUAACCGAAUAGGGGAGCCGAAGGGAAACCGAGUCUUAACUGGGCGUUAAGUUGCAGGGUAUAGACCCGAAACCCGGUGAUCUAGCCAUGGGCAGGUUGAAGGUUGGGUAACACUAACUGGAGGACCGAACCGACUAAUGUUGAAAAAUUAGCGGAUGACUUGUGGCUGGGGGUGAAAGGCCAAUCAAACCGGGAGAUAGCUGGUUCUCCCCGAAAGCUAUUUAGGUAGCGCCUCGUGAAUUCAUCUCCGGGGGUAGAGCACUGUUUCGGCAAGGGGGUCAUCCCGACUUACCAACCCGAUGCAAACUGCGAAUACCGGAGAAUGUUAUCACGGGAGACACACGGCGGGUGCUAACGUCCGUCGUGAAGAGGGAAACAACCCAGACCGCCAGCUAAGGUCCCAAAGUCAUGGUUAAGUGGGAAACGAUGUGGGAAGGCCCAGACAGCCAGGAUGUUGGCUUAGAAGCAGCCAUCAUUUAAAGAAAGCGUAAUAGCUCACUGGUCGAGUCGGCCUGCGCGGAAGAUGUAACGGGGCUAAACCAUGCAC
This 1161-nucleotide ribosomal RNA is filed under the name Escherichia coli. RNAcentral describes it as "partial 23S ribosomal RNA". It matches the Rfam family "Bacterial large subunit ribosomal RNA", at positions 1 to 1194 of the family's 2925-position model. The record is from RNAcentral. Lineage: Bacteria; Pseudomonadati; Pseudomonadota; Gammaproteobacteria; Enterobacterales; Enterobacteriaceae.